RNAcentral lists this ribosomal RNA (424 nucleotides) under uncultured bacterium. RNAcentral describes it as "partial 16S ribosomal RNA". It matches the Rfam family "Bacterial small subunit ribosomal RNA", at positions 360 to 776 of the family's 1533-position model. The record is from RNAcentral.
AAUAUUGGACAAUGGGCGAAAGCCUGAUCCAGCCAUGCCGCGUGUGUGAAGACGGUCUUCGGAUUGUAAAGCACUUUAAGUUGGCAGGAAAGGAUGUCGGUUAACACCCUGCAUUUUUGACGUUACCAACAGAUUAAGCACAGCCUAACUUCGUCCUAGAAGCCGCGGUAAUACGAAGGGUGCAAGCGUUAAUCGGAAUUACUGGCCGUAAAGCGCGCGUAGGUGGUUUGAUAAGUUGGAUGUGAAAGCCCCGGGCUCAACCUGGGAAUUGCAUCCAAAACUGUCUGACGAGAGUAUGGCAGAGGGUGGUGGAAUUUCCUGUGUAGCGGUGAAAUGCAUAGAUAUAGGAAGGAACACCAGUGGCGAAGGCGACCACCUGGGCUAAUACUGACACUGAGGUGCGAAAGCGUGGGGAGCAAACAGG